GCACUGUCACGGUCUGUCGCUGGUGUCAUUCUGGCACAAGAGGAAAGUCCGGGCAGCACAGGGCGCCCCACUUCUGAAAGUGGAAGCUAUUGGUGACAGUAGGUUAGGGCAGAAGAGAAUGACCGCCGAACUCCUUUUGUCUCUACCUCUUAGGAGGGAGUGAGAAAGGGGUGGUAAGGGUGAGAAGGUGGUGUAAGAGACCACCAGCCGAUGGGUGAUCAUCGGGCUGUGUCCGCUGGGGGCUGCAAGUUCAUGUAAACCGUCCCGACAGAGGGUUGCCCGCCCGAGUUGACGAAGGCCUGAGCAGAAAUGCAAUACGGCCGGGGCUCAUGCGGCGGAGGGUAGAACGCUUGAGCCAUGGGGUGACUCAUGGACUAGAUAAAUGACAGGCACCGUGUUUGCACGGUACAGAACCCGGCUUAUAGGGGCAGUGCUUUC
This 438-nucleotide RNase P RNA is filed under the name Prevotella sp. Its description in RNAcentral is "RNase P RNA component class A". It matches the Rfam family "Bacterial RNase P class A". Rfam says of the family: Ribonuclease P (RNase P) is a ubiquitous endoribonuclease, found in archaea, bacteria and eukarya as well as chloroplasts and mitochondria. Lineage: Bacteria; Pseudomonadati; Bacteroidota; Bacteroidia; Bacteroidales; Prevotellaceae. The record is from RNAcentral.